RNAcentral lists this ribosomal RNA (348 nucleotides) under uncultured bacterium. RNAcentral describes it as "partial 16S ribosomal RNA". It matches the Rfam family "Bacterial small subunit ribosomal RNA", at positions 338 to 700 of the family's 1533-position model. The record is from RNAcentral.
CCUACGGGUGACAGCAGUGGGGAAUAUUGGGCAAUGGGCGCAAGCCUGACCCAGCAACGCCGCGUGAAGGAAGAAGGCUUUCGGGUUGUAAACUUCUUUUCUCAGGGACGAAGCAAGUGACGGUACCUGAGGAAUAAGCCACGGCUAAAUACGUGCUAGCAGCCGCGGUAAAACGUAGGUGGCAAGCGUUAUCCGGAUUUACUGGGUGUAAAGGGCGUGUGGGCGGGACGGCACGUCAGAUGUGAAAACCAUGGGCUCAACCUAUGGCCUGCAUUUGCAACUGUAGUUCUUGAGUACUGGAGAGGCAGACGGCAUUCCUAGUGUAGCGGUGAAAUGCGUAGAUAUUAG